RNAcentral lists this long non-coding RNA (340 nucleotides) under Trifolium pratense (red clover). Its description in RNAcentral is "long non-coding RNA (TPRA_LNC004479)". Lineage: Eukaryota; Viridiplantae; Streptophyta; Magnoliopsida; Fabales; Fabaceae. The record is from RNAcentral.
GGGUUAGGAGCACAAGUGUGAAUACGUUCAGGAGAAACAUGUUCAGCACUUGGGUUGGGAUUGAGUUCAGGAGUUGAUUCAGAAGAUGUGUGUUCAGAUGUUGGUUCAGGAGAUUUUUCAGGUGUUGGUUCAGGAGAUUUGUGUUCAGAGGUUGGUUCAGGAGAUUUUUCAGGUGAGGGUUGUUUUGUGGGAGAGGCUUGUUCAGAGGUAGGAUUAUCUGGUUGGGGUUCAGAUGAUGGAAUGUCAGGUGAUUUGUGUGGUUGAGGUUGAGGUGAUUUGGAUUUAGGAGGUGAUGAAGAUUUGUUGGAUUCAUGAGAAAAAGGUUGAUUAUUUAGGGGGU